UGGGGAAUCUUCCGCAAUGGGCGCAAGCCUGACGGAGCAACGCCGCGUGAGUGAUGACGGCCUUCGGGUUGUAAAACUCUGUCUUCUGUGAAGAAUACGCCUGUGAGUGGAAAGCUCAGGCUUUGACGGUAACAGAGGAGGAAGCCCCGGCUAACUACGUGCCAGCAGCCGCGGUAAUACGUAGGGGGCAAGCGUUGUCCGGAAUCACUGGGCGUAAAGCGCGCGCAGGCGGUCAUUUACGUCUGGGGUGAAAGCCCGGAGCUCAACUCCGGGAUUGCCUUGGAUACGGGAUGACUUGAGGAUCGGAGAGGCAAGGGGAAUUCCACGUGUAGCGGUGAAAUGCGUAGAGAUGUGGAGGAACACCUGUGGCGAAGGCGCCUUGCUGGCCGAUUUCUGACGCUGAGGCGCGAAAGCGUGGGGAGCAAACA
Molecule: ribosomal RNA, 428 nt
Filed under: uncultured Alicyclobacillus sp.
Lineage: Bacteria; Bacillati; Bacillota; Bacilli; Caryophanales; Alicyclobacillaceae
Description: bacterial SSU rRNA
Rfam family: Bacterial small subunit ribosomal RNA
Source: RNAcentral